This 253-nucleotide ribosomal RNA is filed under the name uncultured bacterium. RNAcentral's name for it is "partial 16S ribosomal RNA". It matches the Rfam family "Bacterial small subunit ribosomal RNA", at positions 524 to 776 of the family's 1533-position model. The record is from RNAcentral.
UACGCAGGGGGCAAGCGUUGUCCGGAUUUAUUGGGCGUAAAGAGCGUGUAGGCGGCCAAGUACGUCUGCUGUGAAAACUCGAGGCUUAACCUCGAGCUGUCGGCGGAAACUAUUUGGCUAGAGUCCGGAAGAGGAGAAUGGAAUUCCCGGUGUAGCGGUGAAAUGCGCAGAUAUCGGGAAGAACACCCGUGGCGAAGGCGGUUCUCUGGGACGGUACUGACGCUGAGACGCGAAAGCGUGGGGAGCGAACAGG